AUGCCAGCCAGAUGGCUUCAGAUAGGACUAACAUUGGAAUAUUCAUGUGUUAUAGGCCAAUAUAGAUUUUCAUUUAACUUCUGGAUUGGUGCAGCUACAGGUUUCUUUGUAAAAAUUAUUGGUUAUUCUGAAAUCUUAUUAUUAGGUGUUAAGCUUCAGGCUGAUGUAUUGGUUGAGAUCGAGGAGAGAAUUUUUUUGUGGCCUUCUCCAUUAGAAUAUUUCUCCUCAAUGACCAUAUCAACCUGUCUGGUGUUUGCACAUGUCAUUUUGGUUCAGGUUACCGCCAUUCCGCCUCUUCCUUGUGAUGGUAUAGGAGUACAUACUAAUUCGAUAAACAAGAGGCGAAGUUGCCAACGCCUGAGAUAG
This 366-nucleotide ribosomal RNA is filed under the name Triticum aestivum (bread wheat). RNAcentral describes it as "partial small subunit ribosomal RNA". The record is from RNAcentral. Lineage: Eukaryota; Viridiplantae; Streptophyta; Magnoliopsida; Poales; Poaceae.